RNAcentral lists this transfer RNA (89 nucleotides) under Parastagonospora nodorum. RNAcentral describes it as "tRNA-Leu". Lineage: Eukaryota; Fungi; Ascomycota; Dothideomycetes; Pleosporales; Phaeosphaeriaceae. RNAcentral also lists the same sequence under 1 other name. The record is from RNAcentral.
GGCAAGAUGGCCGAGCGGUUAAGGCGCUAGCUUCAGGUGCUAGUAGAGUAAUCUGCGUGGGUGUAAGUUUUCUCCAAAGUUCCUUGCUU